UACGGGGGGGGUAAGCGUUGUUCGGAAUUACUGGGCGUAAAGGGCUCGUAGGCGGCCAACUAAGUCAGACGUGAAAUCCCUCAGCUUAACUGGGGAACUGCGUCUGAUACUGGAUGGCUUGGAUUCGGGAGAGGAAUGCGGAAUUCCAGGUGUAGCGGUGAAAUGCGUAGAUAUUGGGAAGAACACCGGUGGCGAAGGCGGCUAUCUGGACUGUGACUGACGCUGAGGCGCGAAAGCGUGGGGAGCAAACAGG
RNAcentral lists this ribosomal RNA (253 nucleotides) under uncultured bacterium. RNAcentral describes it as "partial 16S ribosomal RNA". It matches the Rfam family "Bacterial small subunit ribosomal RNA", at positions 524 to 776 of the family's 1533-position model. The record is from RNAcentral.